UGUGAAUAUCUAAUAUUGCCUGCCUGUC
This 28-nucleotide non-coding RNA is filed under the name Homo sapiens (human). Lineage: Eukaryota; Metazoa; Chordata; Mammalia; Primates; Hominidae. The record is from RNAcentral.